RNAcentral lists this ribosomal RNA (427 nucleotides) under uncultured bacterium. RNAcentral's name for it is "bacterial SSU rRNA". It matches the Rfam family "Bacterial small subunit ribosomal RNA", at positions 355 to 774 of the family's 1533-position model. The record is from RNAcentral.
UAAGGAAUAUUGGUCAAUGGAGGCAACUCUGAACCAGCCAUGCCGCGUGAGUGAAGAAGGCCUUCGGGUUGUAAAGCUCUUUCGGCCGGGAAGAAAUCGCACGGGCUAAUACCCUGUGUGGAUGACGGUACCGGAAUAAGAAGCACCGGCUAACUACGUGCCAGCAGCCGCGGUAAUACGUAGGGUGCGAGCGUUAAUCGGAAUUACUGGGCGUAAAGCGUGCGCAGGCGGUUUAGUGAGACAGGCGUGAAAUCCCCGGGCUCAACCUGGGAACUGCGCUUGUGACUGCUAAGCUAGAGUACGGCAGAGGGGGGUGGAAUUCCACGUGUAGCAGUGAAAUGCGUAGAUAUGCGGAGGAACACCGAUGGCGAAGGCAAUCCCCUGGACCUGUACUGACGCUCAUGCACGAAAGCGUGGGGAGCAAACA